AACGCGAAGAACCUUACCAGGUCUUGACAUCCUCUGACAACCCUAGAGAUAGGGCUUCCCCUUCGGGGGCAGAGUGACAGGUGGUGCAUGGUUGUCGUCAGCUCGUGUCGUGAGAUGUUGGGUUAAGUCCCGCAACGAGCGCAACCCUUGAUCUUAGUUGCCAGCAUUCAGUUGGGCACUCUAAGGUGACUGCCGGUGACAAACCGGAGGAAGGUGGGGAUGACGUCAAAUCAUCAUGCCCCUUAUGACCUGGGCUACACACGUGCUACAAUGGACAGAACAAAGGGCAGCGAAACCGCGAGGUUAAGCCAAUCCCACAAAUCUGUUCUCAGUUCGGAUCGCAGUCUGCAACUCGACUGCGUGAAGCUGGAAUCGCUAGUAAUCGCGGAUCAGCAUGCCGCGGUGAAUACGUUCCCGGGUCUUGUACACACCG
RNAcentral lists this ribosomal RNA (433 nucleotides) under uncultured bacterium. Its description in RNAcentral is "bacterial SSU rRNA". It matches the Rfam family "Bacterial small subunit ribosomal RNA", at positions 958 to 1392 of the family's 1533-position model. The record is from RNAcentral.